UUAACGUUGCAGUUUGUACUGUCGUGACGUCAGUAACACGUGCACAUGCCAUGAAUCACGAGAAGAGUUAUGCACCUUGUAGGCUACAACACGGCAUGACAUAUGAGCUUCAAAAGCAAGAAAUAAAAAUAUUUAGUCCAGUUCGUUUUG
Limulus polyphemus (Atlantic horseshoe crab) is the source of this 150-nucleotide long non-coding RNA. RefSeq lists it as uncharacterized. The transcript is spliced from 3 exons. NCBI's taxonomy places the organism in Eukaryota, Metazoa, Arthropoda, Merostomata, Xiphosura, Limulidae. The record is from RefSeq and is a predicted model, not a curated record.